Molecule: ribosomal RNA, 579 nt
Filed under: Notiothemis robertsi
Lineage: Eukaryota; Metazoa; Arthropoda; Insecta; Odonata; Libellulidae
Description: partial 12S ribosomal RNA
Source: RNAcentral
AUAAAAAUAAAUAUUAUUGGUUAAACAGUUAAUGAUUUUGUUUCUUUUAAUUUUAUCAUUUUUAAGGUGAAAUUUUAAUUUUAAUUAAAUAGAUUUUUAUGAAGCUGUGAAAUUUAUUUUAUAAACAAGGAUUAGAUACCCUUUUAUUUUAAAUGUAAAUAUAAACCUGGGUAGUAAUAGUUAUGUUCUUGAAACCCAAAGAAUUUGGCGGUAUUUUAUUCUUUUUAGAGGAACCUGUCCUAUAAUUGAUAGUCCACGAUGAUAAUUUACUUAUUUUUGUAGUCAUUUUGUAUACCUCCGUCAUCAGAGUAUCUUUUUAGAGUUAAUAUUCUUAAUUUACAAAAUAUAGUAUGUCAGGUCAAGGUGCAAAUAAUAAAUAAGAAGAGAUGGGUUACAUUAAAUUUAUUUAUACGAAAUAUUAUCUUUAUUAUUAAUAUGAAGGUGGAUUUAAAAGUAAAAUUAUCUUCUUGUUAUUUUGAUUUUAGCACUAAAAUAUGCACACAUCGCCCGUCACUCUUAUUAUAAAAUAAGAUAAGUCGUAACAUAGUAGAGGUACCGGAAGGUGUCUCUAGUUAGUUA